This 6486-nucleotide long non-coding RNA is filed under the name Sus scrofa (pig). RNAcentral describes it as "lncRNA (ENSSSCG00000053690.1)". Lineage: Eukaryota; Metazoa; Chordata; Mammalia; Artiodactyla; Suidae. The record is from RNAcentral.
GCUGAAGGAGCAGGUGAGGUUGGGGGUGGGGACUGGGCAGAAGGCCCGCACGCUGGACACGAGGUCACCGGGAGAGAGAGCGGUGGGCAGGCCGAGAGCAGGGGUCUUGGUGCCCAGGCCGGGCUGUUCCCCAGGGCCCCAAAGGCAGGCGGCUGGGAGUUGACUCUGGGCUCGGGGGAGGGGCCGGACUGAGAAGAGGAAAGUGCUGUGGACGGUCAGCCCGCCAGUGGGCUUUGUGCUCAUGCGCCUCCUCCUUCCUCAGCAAUAGACCCCUGAUGUUUGGCAGACACAGGACACCCCUACUUCCCACCUCCCUCGAAACCAGUGUGCAUUACAGUUUGGUCCUGUAGUGCAGCCUUAGGGGCGUAGCCUCAGAGGGAGAGCAAGCCCUUCUUUGGUCCUUCCUUUCGUCUGCUGGUGGAAAAGUGGCUACAAAGACUGGAGCUUGAGCAGCCAUUUUGUGCCAUGAGGAGGAAACUUCUGUCCUGGGAUGAAGGACCCGGGGUCCCCUUCUGUGGGCAGCUGCUCAGUCCUGGGUGGCCUCUGAGAGAGAAGUAGGCAUCUCUCUUUGGAACCCUCAGCUGCUUUGUGUUCCCUGGGGCACCCUCGGUCCGUGUCCUCGCGGGGGCACUAGCUGUGUCUGUCCACGAAGGUUAGGAUGCAGGCGCAGACCACAGGGCAGUGGGAGGGAGGGACAGAUGUCUGACCCAUUUUCUGACAAGGGUGCAAGUUUUCUUCGAUAGCAUUUCACCCCGGCCGUUGAUGAGCUGUAGACACCCACACGCAUACACAUCUGACAAGGAAGUUGGGCCGGGAUGUCGUUUUGAAACCUGAUCCUCGCUCUUCCUCGGGCUCCAGUGCCGUGCACCACGUGAAGGUGUGGGUCCAAGGCCCUGCCAUUAGCAGCUGGUAGCCUCACACAAGGGUCUCGGACGUGCCUUUGUUUAUCCAGCCAGACCUCCGGCCCCGUGCAUGCAGCGGUGAUGACAUGUUUAUUCCCACCAAGGACGUGGCUCGCAAACCGUGUGGUAAGAGGCUUGUGGAGCCCCGGAGCAUUAAGUACUAAAACGCAUGUUUCGGGUUCUACAGCAGCCUUCAAUAUCAAGAGUGGGAAACAGAGGUAUUUUUCCCUGGGUGGAAUUUCAUUUCGCAAAGACAGUUCAGGUCAGACCCAGCCGGCUCUUUGCUGUUUUUCCCUGAGAAUCAAGUUGGAAGUUGUGGGGUGCCACUGGUUCCCCCUGAAAUUCUCCUCCCCCUCCAAACGCCCUGCACCCCAGGGGUGCCUGGAGGGAAGGCCCAGCGUCAGCCCGGCCAGGGGCCGCUGACCCCAGGAAGCAUCCUGUCAAAGUUUUCCCUGCCGGCGCCUCGCCCACCCCCGUGACUUCCAGAAGCUCCAAUGCCCACCAGAGCAGGGCGUCCCUAGUGCGUGUCCCUGGCCCGCAGAGCAGCUGGUCUUGCUUUGCUCUUCUCCUGUGCUCCUGACCUUGAUUCCCGGCCUGAGGACACGGCCGUCCUUAAGGGUUUGCUGGAGCUCGCGAAACUGGAUGUUUUCUUUUCUUGUUUGGAAGGCGGCGUGUGUGUGCAUUUGUGUGGGUACGUAUGUGUGCGUAAAUGUUCCCGUGUGUCUGAGUGUGUGAGUGUGUAUGAUGUAUGUGUGUGUUCGUGUGUGUGUGCACACGUGUAUGACUGUGUGUCUGGGGGGGUGUGCCCGUGUAUGAUGUGUUGGGGGGGUGUCCGGGGGGGUGUGCACACAGUUGUGCCUCUCGUGACAACACUCUCGUCUGUGGCCACUGGCUCCUCCUGACUCAAUAUGGUCGUUUAUAUUCUCAUAGAAAAGCGUUCGUGUCUCUGCAGUGGCGACAUGCAAGAAAUUGAACCGAGUAGUUUUGUGGUGGUUUUCCAUGUCCUCGGCAUCUGGAGCUGUUUUCUCCUUAGCUGUUUUCCUUCUUUCUCUCUUCUUCCCCUUGAUUACAUUAGCCAACUUGAUUUUUCGAUCUUGUUGCCUCCUUUGUUUAAGAGCUGGUUUUGGAUGAUUUAUAGACCGUAUCGUUUCCUAUCUUUUGAACCCUCCGUCUCUUCUUCAGUUCUCAUGCCAUCCUUCUGUCUGCUUAGCUUAGCUGCGUUUGUAGUCCUUGCAUUGGAUGCUUAAUUGUUUUUUUCGCCUCUGCUCGUUAAUGGGAGUGAGACUGACUUUUCAUCGGAGCGCUGUUAGCGGUACCCCGCCGUGUCUGACAUGCAGCUAAAAGCCGAAGUCUCUAACUGUUGAACCGUAGUUUUGAUACAAAUAGCUGGGGGUGUGGUCAAGGGCCCUUUGACCCGCAGGCAAGGACAUGGCCAGGUGGGAGGAGCCGGGGUCCCGUCAGGGCACGAGUGCGUGAGAUUUCUGCGUUGGCAUGCACACCUGGUACGCGUCUCCUGGAACGGUGAAAGCACAGCCCUGGGGUCACUGCUCUGCCCACACCUUCCACGUGGUGACCUCUAACCUCCCAGCUGCCGGAACCCCCAGGGCCCCAAGAGUGAAAGCCGGGGCCCUCACGCGGCCUUCUUUCCGAAUCUGGGUGGGCGCCGUCUUGAGCGGCUCUCCCCAGAGUUGGUGGGGCCUUCCUCUUUCCUCUUUGGCUCAGUGGUUUCCUAGGCCAGUUAGAAAGUCUUGUUUCCUCGUGGGUGGUGCUCACACCUGCUCAGGGACUGGCUGAGGUCCUUCGGGCCCCGUGACUGUCCCACAGGCUCCUGCGAACGUCUGAUUAUAUUGGUUAAAACCUCUUGCUGAUGGCACCGUCCAGGUCUCUGUCCUCGCCUUCGAAGACAAGGCCACGAGAGACGCCUGCCCCUCGCCUGCAACCCUCAGCGCUUCUGCUGCUCUGGGCCCGCGCCGCGUGGCCCGGAGGUGCUGGCGGCCGCCCCAGCCGUGCCGAGGGUUGCCCCCUCUGCCAUUCUGUGCCUUUCUUGUGCCUGGCGUGCAGCUCGGGCCCUGUUCCGCUCGCCUCUCCCUCGUGGUUUUGAGGGUCCCGGGCCGUAACCACCUGCAGGUCCUCAGUGUCCCACAUGCACCCUGUAACCACCCUCCCACCGGGACGGGGGCUUCCUGUCACCCACGGAGGCCCCGUGUCCCCCGCCCCGGGGACCCCAUCCUCCCGCAGAGAUGCUGGGCUCCGACCCCCCCGUUUGCGGAUCUAGAACUUUCCGAAAAUGAAAUCUUGCCCGUCCGGCUCUUUUCUCACCCGGGAAAAGUUUCCACAUGGCUGGUGCACGUUGCCCUUCGUGGGCUGCGUGGUGCUGAGCCGCAGGCGGCCCGCCCCUGCUGAGGGUCCUGCACGGUGGGGCGGUGGCGCUGGGUCACCGCGAGCUCCAGGCCCGAGUGUCCCUGGACGUUUGCUUCCACAGGAAGCGAGAGGCCGGUCCUGGAGCCGUGCGCUCCCUUCCCCGAAACUGCGGACUUUCUCAGAAGGUGCAGCGGCUCACGUCCCGCCAGCCAGGCAGGAGCGUCCGGGUGCCCGGGGAUGCCCGUCGUCCUCCCACCCACCUCGGGGUGCCCGCAGCCGCCCGGCGCACCACCCUCCCUUAAUGGCUGGGGUCGGGCUGCUUCUCGUGCUGCUUCUGGGUCCUUCGCGUGUCUGGUUUUGCGGAGGGUCUGUUCCGCCGACGCAGUCGCCCCGGCCUUCAUUGGGCCCGUGCAGGGCACCCAGGCUUUCGGAGCCCGAGCACAGGGCGCUGCCGCGGCCGGAGGGGCUCGGGCUUCCGAGUCUGUGAUGGUCUCCCCUUGUAGAAUCGUGUACACUGACUUUUUCUGUGAUUUUUUUUUUCUUGAUUCAAUUAUCAGUUGGUUUAUCAAUUUCAUUGUUAUUAUUUUCUUUUUUUUUUUAAAAAAAAGAACUCUGGUAAGGUAGUGAACCCGCAGGCCUGCGAGGCCUGCAGAGCCCAAGGCACAGAGACUUCUGUCAGAGGGAGGGGCUGGUGCCCUGGGGGCGGCCGACAAGCCCACGCUUGGAGGGGACGCUGCAAGGCACCCACACGUGUCUCUGGCCGAUGGUGCUCACACCACUGGCCCUGUGUGGCCACUUGUGUCCCCGUGGGUGGCGGCUCCAGGCGGGGUGGCGGGAGGUGGGGAGAGGCCAGCCCCUGGCCUCCCCUCCUCACCGGCCAGUGGAGCCCAGCACCUCCUUCCUCUGCCCCCACAGGUGGACAUCACGCAGAGGCUGGUCCCCAGGUGCCCUGCAGCGGGGUCCUGCUGGGGUGGCACAGACCCAAAGCUGGGCUGGGGAGUGGGAGGCUUCCUCGGGGAAGGGGCUGGGUGCCCUCGGAGGCUGGGCCCUUGAGACCUUGACCUGCCCGCGGGGAAGAGGAAGAGUGGGUGGCUGACCGCGUCCUGGUGGGUCGGGUGGCGGGCAGCUCUCUGGGCUGGCGGCACAGGUUGUGGCUCAGUCUCUUUGUUGGGUAUGACAUGGCCGGGGUCAUCUGUCCCUCUGGCCUCUCAGCGUGUCUGAAGGUAUAGACAGAGGUGUCCUCCCUUGGACACGCGGCGCCCAGGAGCUCCGUGAACCUGGCUGCCAGGCCCGUUCUGGUCCUAACUCCUGGCCUUCGGGGCUCAGUGCCUCAGGGAAUGGGUGGCAUCUGCAGGGCACCCACCUCCUCUGCUUCUGGCUGAGCCCCAGGGGGGGGCGUGGGGGUGUCUUCUCAGGACCAGGCGGAGCUGGGCCAGAAGGAGACACGGAGUGCCUCCCUGGGGACACCUCUCCGCACCCGUCCCCUCCAGCGGCCCUGCCCCAGGACGCACAGUACAGGAAAGGAACCGGAACGGCCGCCCGUGCUGCUGACCCAGCCCUGCGUCCAUCUUUGAGGACGGAAGUGCUACGGCCAAGGUGCUGGCAUCUGCUCCCUGGGGGGAAGUGGACGGGGCCCAGGCUCAGAGAACUGAGGGAUUGGAGCCUCUCCUGGACAUCAGCCUUGUCCCCACGCCUUCAGGGUCACUGGAGGAGAGGGCCAGGCAGACAGGGACCAGCCCCUCGGCUCCCCUGGGCCGAGGUCCUGGCCUCAGCAUCUCAGCUCCAGGGCAGCACAUCUGUGUACCUGUCGGACACGUUCGAAUGAGUCACAUGCAGGUUACAGGUGGCCCAGCUCCCAGGUGAGGGGCCCACAGCCCCCCAGACACACGGGACCAGACGGGGGCCAUCAGCCUUGAGGAGGAGGAGCUCAAAACCCAGGCUGUACUGAGGGCUCCCACAAAACUAGGUCUGCGCGGCCACAGCUGCAGGCCACGGGCUGGGGGUGCAGUGGGCCAGGGUGACCCCCUGAAGCAGGGACGUCCCCUCCUCCAGCCCGUCCCUUCCUGGCCAGCUGCCUGCAGUCCGGGACCAGGGACCCCUGCCUUCAUCUUCUCCCGAGAACAAACCACAAGGCCGACCAGAGUGUGGAGCCCCGACUGCCUCCUGCAAAGGCCUCGGUACUCACUGGCCUGGCUGCGCCCCUGCCAGAGCUCGCAGCCCCCACCCCUGCUCUGUCCUCGUGCUGGUCUGCUCCCCACCCCCCACGUCACCUGCGCAGGCUGAAGGAGGGAGGGGGCCCGUCUCCAGGUCCCUGUUAUCAUCCAGUUAAACUUGAAUUUCAGAUAAAAAAUUAACUUUUAGUAUAAAUAUACCCCAUAAAGUACUUCCCUGACCAAGUGCUGUAUGACUCAUGUAGAUACUAAAAAUCCAAUAUUUGUUGUCUACCUAAAAUUCAAAAUUAAUGAGGAAUCUUAUAGUUUAUCUGGCAACCCUACCCAGAAGCUUCGACCCGAGACUUUUAUAUUCAGCCAAACUACCUUCUAACACGCCUGCAAGAACUCGGGCACCAUGGUCCCUGGGGCCCUUCCCGAAGACUCGAAGGGGGUUUCACACCCAGAGCGCGGGGACCGGCCUCCCCCAGGGCGCCCCUGGGCCCUAGGGCUGCAGGACACAGGGAAGCCUUCACGAGAUAAUAGAGAAAUCAUUGCAGUAACGAUAGUUGUGAAGGGACGGAGGAAAGAAGAUAGAAUGCAGGUUUUAAAAACUUAUUUAAAAUUGAUGUAUCAGGUGGUAAAAACAGAAGACGACAGCGCACAUGGACAGAACAGACCCCGCGACUGAAAGACCUUGCUCGGGGAAACCCGGCUGAGGGCAGGGCGGCCCGGAGCCAGGAAGUGGGGUUCAUCCCGCAGCAACUGCGGCCACACAGAAACCGCAGGAAACCACGAGGGACACACUCGCAAACCAGGGAAGCCGCGGGUCGUUGGAAAGAGAAAGGGAAACAGGAGUUCCCGUCGUGGCUCAGCAGAAACGAAUCUGACUAGCGUCCAAGAGGACGCAGGUUCCGUCCCGGGCCUUGCUCGGUGGGCUGAGGAUCCAGCGUCCUCUCGAGCUGUGGUGUGGGUCGCAGAUGUGGCUUGAAUCCCACGUGGCUGUGGCUGUGGCUGUGGUGUAGACCCGUGAAGACAGCUCGGGUUCGACUCCAUAUGCCGCAGGUGUGGCC